AAGGCCAAAUUCCACCAGACUGAAGGGGACCACCUCACCCUGCUAGCUGUGUACAACUCCUGGAAGAACAACAAGUUCUCCAACCCAUGGUGCUAUGAGAACUUUAUCCAGGCUCGUUCCCUGCGCCGGGCCCAGGACAUUCGCAAGCAGAUGUUAGGCAUAAUGGACAGACACAAGCUGGAUGUUGUUUCCUGUGGCAAGUCCACAGUCCGAGUGCAGAAGGCCAUCUGCAGUGGGUUCUUCCGUAAUGCUGCCAAGAAAGACCCGCAGGAGGGUUACCGGACACUGAUCGACCAGCAGGGUGGUGUACCAUGAGCUGGUGCUCACCACCAAGGAAUACAUGCGUGAAGUUACCACCAUCGACCCUCGGUGGCUUGUGGAGUUUGCCCCAGCCUUCUUCAAGGUCUCAGACCCAACUAAGCUAAGCAAACAGAAGAAGCAACAGCGUCUUGAACCCUUGUACAACCGCUAUGAGGAACCCAAUGCCUGGAGAAUAUCUCGAGCUUUCCGACGGCGCUGAAAGGCAAGAUUGUUCCUUUGCCUCUCCAGCAGCAGUAGCCAGGGCUUGGACUUAUCGAUGACAGGCUGGUCCUGAGGAUACAGCUGUCCCGUGACUGACUGUCUUAACUGAGCAUUUUCUCAACUCGACUCUCAUUUCUUCCCUGCUGGUAAAAUAGAAACAGGGAUUUAAACCUGGCUUUGGCAAGAGCCUGCAGCCUCCAUCACCCCAAGUCCUUGGGCCCAGUUGGGAGCUCAUAUCUAACACAGAGACACAUUGCAUCAACUUCAAGAAAGGGACAAUUUGUGCAGCUCCAGGAUGGGAAGGUGGAGUGGGUGAGCAUCUUGUGCAGGGACAUGGUGAGUGCCCUGAUGCCCCAGCUAGCAGGAGCUACUGUGCUCAUCUAAAGUGUUUGCCCCACUUCCCACCCCGUCUCCAGCCCCUGUACUUUGGCUUGACCUCGUGGAAAUAUUUAUUUUCUUAAGGAAACAAAAAUGGUUUUCUGUGACUGUUUUCUUUUAGCCGAAAGGUUAGGAUAUUGGCCUGGGCUCAGGGUGAGGGAGAUUUAGUAUCUGUGCUCUGGCACACAUGAUGAGAAUCCCCUGAAUCCCCUGAAACCAGAACGCAGGGCCUCUUUGCGCUCGGAAACGACGUACAACCCAGACUUCCAGCCUUGUCUUUCAGCAUCAGCACUAGCCGGGCCGUGCUGGGGGAUCACCCGAUGAUCAACCAUGUCCUCUCCACAGAGCACUUCAGUCUGGAGGCCUGAGUGGCUACAGAUGGCACAUAUUAAAUACAGAAGGUUUCCCCUUGCUCCCUCCACCUCCCACAUUCGCAAUGUGCAGCAUGUCCCAUUUCCUUUUGAAACAUACUAAGUAACAACACAGCUUUUAUUUUAUUUUGUUUUUAUUUUUUUCCCCUGAGGUCCUGGAUGGACUUUAACAAAGGGAUUUUAUGGUCAAAACCUCCCUUUCCCCACUCCAAACAGAAAACAAACAUAACACCUCUCCUCUCAGCUGGUUUGUGCUGCCAGUAUCUGUGCUGCAGGGCUUGUUCUUAGUGGUUUUUUCCUAGCACUUGCUUGGAGAAUAGCCACCUCCUUGUGCCCUCCUCACAGCUCCUGAGGAGGGUUUUUUUUUUUUCUUCCCAUAGAGAUGGGUUCCCACUGUGCUGCCCAGGCUGCUCUCCAAUCCCUGGCGUCAAGCAAUCCUCCUGCCUCUGCCUCCCAAAGCGCUGGGAUUACAGUUGAGAGCCACUGUCCUCUGCACUGAGGAGGCUCCUUACCUGGCGGAACAUCAGGCAGGUCUUGCCAGGCCAGGUUUCGGAACUUACGGAAAGCUGGUCUGGAUGUAGUGCUUGUAGAGAAGCUUCUGAGAGAUUGGGCACAUCCUGUUACGUUGCUGCUUCUCCUGUCCUUAUGUUAUUAGUAAGUUCUGAAGUGAUGUAAAUGCUAGAACUACUGUAGAACUGUAUGCCAGACACUAAGAGAGACUAUGUAACAUUCCAGGAUAUAAAGGAAUGUAUGUUGUCACUGGGCAGCAAACCACACCCUAAAGACAAUUCAGAAAGAGUCCGAGGGAGAGGAAUAUAGGCCAGGCAAUCUGCUGGCUGCAGAUCCCUGCCCCUUCAUUAAGCUGAGUGCCUCCUGAUUCUGUCUGAGUAUUCGCCUUUGUAAGCCCAGGCCAGUAAUCAAGGGGCAGGGCAUUGUUGUGUGUUAACCUUGAAGGCCUUCUGGGGAGAGACAGUACAGGGACCUCAAAUGAAACCAAAGGGGAAACGGGGACUGGGCACCCACCUCCCCAAUCUCGUUUUGUUUUUGUUUUUGUUAAGACAGGAUCUUGCCAUCUUGCCUAGGCUGGCAUCAAACUCCUGAGCUCAAGUGAUCUUCCUGCCUCAGCCUCCUGAGUAGCUGGGACUACAGGUGCAUGCCACCACACCUGGCUCCCAGUCCUAAUUCCAGCCUAAAUUUUCCCCAUUCAGAAACACUCCUGGAUAUAGUGGCCCAGCCUGUCCUGACUGAGUGCCCAGCACUGACAAUGUUGACACCUGGGGAGGGAGGGUUGGGUUUCAAGCUGAGGUUGAAAAGGGAUGUUGAAUGGGCUAAGGAUAAGAGACAGCAGGGUUCGUUAUCUUUUCUGGCUCAGGUGGAGGAAAAAGAAGGAUCCCCAUUCUGUGGGUGUUCCUUGACCAUCUCUCUACGCUAGAGCUGAGGUCACUUCUCUGCUAUGACAACAUAGCUGGGUUCUGACCUUUUGACCAUCAGGAAAGCAAUGUCAGCAGCUGAGCUGAGCCUGCUCUGAGGGAGAAGGGGGGGGUCCUGUCCAGAUGCAGAAGGGGAGCUUGCCUGCUGCUCUCACACAAUGGAGCCCUUGUUUCUCUUCCUUGAACCAGUAUUUCCCAAGAUUGAGUGACAGCCCAGGAGAGGAUGUGGGUCUCAUGCAGAGAGCUGGGAUCUUCUUGGCCAUUAAAGUAUAUUGUUCACCCCCACCCCGCGAGAACCAAGCUCAGGAGUUGCCUGCCUCUGCACACAUGCUGAGUGUGCUGUUUGUGUAUAUGGCAGGACCGUCCCUAUGGGGCAUGUGUGAGCUCCGCAGCUGGGUCAGGCUCCUCGGUCCAGGUUUACUUCAUCCCGCCUGGACGUGAUUUGGCUUUGACUGUCUCUCCUGCAGCCCAAAGCACUUCCUCCCUGUGGUUGCUGUAGCUGUCUCAUUGGAGCAGUGCCUCUCCAAGUUUGAGGAUUUGAACAAAGAACUGGGACUGGUGACUUGUUAAUGAACAGUUCAGAGGGCAGAGGGCCAUCAUCUCAGCUUGUGGAGACCUUUCUUUCCCUGGAUGCUGCUUCUCAGCUAACUCCCUCUCUCUUCGUGUGUGUACUCGGCCUUCAGGGUUUCCACCGAUUUUUACACCUUCUUCCCACCACGAUAGCUUGGCUUUAAUGUGGAAUUAAAUUAUAUAUUUUU
Molecule: long non-coding RNA, 3459 nt
Filed under: Homo sapiens (human)
Lineage: Eukaryota; Metazoa; Chordata; Mammalia; Primates; Hominidae
Description: HSALNT0241043
Source: RNAcentral